AAGGAUUUAAGUUAAGGAAACUAGUAACCUUCAAAGUUGCCAAUAAAGAACACUCUUUAAGCCUUA
This 66-nucleotide transfer RNA is filed under the name Cryptalaus larvatus. RNAcentral's name for it is "tRNA-Trp". Lineage: Eukaryota; Metazoa; Arthropoda; Insecta; Coleoptera; Elateridae. The record is from RNAcentral.